This is a long non-coding RNA of Octopus sinensis (East Asian common octopus), 1377 nucleotides long. RefSeq lists it as uncharacterized. The transcript is spliced from 4 exons. The record is from RefSeq and is a predicted model, not a curated record. NCBI's taxonomy places the organism in Eukaryota, Metazoa, Mollusca, Cephalopoda, Octopoda, Octopodidae.
CCUCCGUUCCCGCUGCCGACUCCGUCGCUCCUAUAUAAAUAAUCGCGAUUCGCUCCUCGCUCCCAGAAUACUGUGCGUCUGAAGCUGAGAUAACUUCAUUCCUCUCUGGUUGUUGUUUCAGUCGGAGUCGAAGAUGGAAACCAGACCAAAGAAGCAAUGCUUCCUUUGGACUGCGUUUGCCCUGGCAUUUCUAGUCCUCCUAAACGGUAUUCAACUGUCCGAAGGAGGGGACCAAACGCAAAAGAAAGCAGCGAAGGGUCGUGUUGAGAGUUGCACUGGAUGACAAUUGAAUAAACUUCCUGAAAUCAAACGCUUCAUAUACGAAGACCUUCCACUGUAUGAAGAUGUUGUUUUCAAGGCAGUGCCCGGGGCAGAACCACAGUUGUAUCUACUUGAUGACAAUGAUAGUACAAUAGAGACUAUCAAUCUCAGUGACUUAACUCAGUAUGACUGCAAUAAACUGAUGGAAGCCAAUGGAUUCAUCAAAAAGGAUAGUAAAGCUAGCCAUGCUGAUUUAUAAUCUAGUUUAUAUGUAUGUGUGCGUGUGUCUCUCUCAAUCUGGACAAUAUUUUCCACUUUCAGAAAUGGUUUUCACUCAAAUAGUUUCUCUUCAACUAGUGUAGCAAAUCUAUUUAUUAUCCUAUUCACAAAUGUUUAGUAUUGUCUUUCAAACUGACACCUCUAUCUGUUUAUUUUAUUAAGAGAUAGUGAAAGAAUCCUAUAAGGAUAUGGAAAUUUUCUGUUCUUUGUCUAUAAUAGACUUAGUUUAGUUUGAGGAGGUUGCAGAUUUUUCAGGUUUAGGGGCCAAUCAAAUAAUUCUAGAUUAGAAAUUGUUAAAAUUGAAUAAGAAAGAAUGAGAAUUUUCAGUCUAAUCUCUGUUGGAGACUUGGGGAAUUAUAAGUAAAUAGCGGAUUAGUAUUCUAAGACUUGAGACAGAUUUUUAACUGAUAAUAUUUGGUGGAGUUCCAUGACCAAUUAAGAAAUAUUUUAGGUUUAGUUAAUUAAACUUAUUAAUCUUUUGAAUAAGUUGAGACAUUUUUUUCACCAUUCUCCACAAAGCUAUUUAUCGUCAAAUCUAAUCGAAUCAUUAAUUCUUGUAACUAGUUUUGUUUUCUGUGUAAUAUAUGGUAUAAUAAUGUCAUUUCUGUUCUGGUUACCUGUCUUGUCUGUUUGUCUGAGACUGGGAGAAAGUGGAUUGUGUGAAAGGUCUAGAAUCACUUCUAAACUGUCUGUCAUGCGUAACAGCUUUAACUCUUAUGACGUUUCAAAUUUAAAUUUUUGGUUUGGAACUGAUAUCUUACACUUGUUGAGUUGUCAUGCUUGAUGGUACACUUUAGAAAACAACAACACAAACAAUAUUCAACUGAAAACAAAAAC